Molecule: ribosomal RNA, 449 nt
Filed under: Culex annulirostris
Lineage: Eukaryota; Metazoa; Arthropoda; Insecta; Diptera; Culicidae
Description: eukaryotic LSU rRNA
Rfam family: 5.8S ribosomal RNA (bases 1-129)
Source: RNAcentral
GCUCGUGGAUCGAUGAAGACCGCAGCUAAAUGCGCGUCAGAAUGUGAACUGCAGGACACAUGAACACCGACAAGUUGAACGCAUAUUGCACAUCGUACAACAGUACGAUGUACACAUUUUUGAGUGCCUAUAUUUAACUAUUCAACUGUGUUUGCUCUCCUCCUCGCGGGGAGAGGCAGGCACGCAGCAUGGUGUUUUGCUGCCUUCAGUGGCUGGCAAAACAUUUAAGAUACUCCCGGUUCGGGCUGCGACGACCGUCACUGGCGCGCGACACGACACGUGAGAAUACAUCCCACACACCAACCUGGCUUGGGCGCCGAUGUAGACUCUCUCUCACUCCGUUGUCAUCCGAUGUCGCGGUGCCGCGUACGCGUGCCCAUCUCAAGAACCACACACAGUUAUCCCAUGUAGGCCUCAAAUAAUGUGUGACUACCCCCUAAAUUUAAGCA